This 301-nucleotide ribosomal RNA is filed under the name uncultured bacterium. Its description in RNAcentral is "partial 16S ribosomal RNA". It matches the Rfam family "Bacterial small subunit ribosomal RNA", at positions 509 to 807 of the family's 1533-position model. The record is from RNAcentral.
CAGUCGCCGCGGGAAUACAGAGGGUGCGAGCGUUAAUCGGAUUUACUGGGCGUAAAGCGUGCGUAGGCUGCUAAUUGAGUCGGAUGUGAAAUCCCCGAGCUUAACUUGGGAAUUGCAUUCGAUACUGGUUAGCUAGAGUGUGGGAGAGGAUGGUAGAAUUCCAGGUGUAGCGGUGAAAUGCGUAGAGAUCUGGAGGAAUACCGAUGGCGAAGGCAGCCAUCUGGCCUAACACUGACGCUGAGGUACGAAAGCAUGGGGAGCAAACAGGAUUAGAUACCCCUGUAGUCCCUGUCUCUUAUAC